GGCAUGCCCUGGGCGGCCUGGCCGCUCGCUGCCUCCGUGGUGGAGCGCCGCAGCCUGAAUCGUCCCGGGCUGGCCCGGCUGCUGGGCGUCUCCUGGUCCCGGGGCGGGGGUCUGGGGAGGGCGCGGGCAAGUUCAGGCCUCCCUGGGGACCGGCUGUUCCAGUGCAGCCCCGGCUCCCAGCAGAGGGGGUGGGGUGAGGAGGACGCGGAAUCCUGGGCUCGCCAUAGCUUGGGGGCCUUGCAGUUCCUGGCCGCGCCUGCACGGCCUCCCCAGUGGCGCUCCCGGGGUGAAGGAAGGGUGAAAGGGUGAACCGGAGGGACGAGUGCCCAGGCCUGCCGCGUCUCCAGGAGCCUGCCACCGCUGCCUGCAGAGCAGACGGGACCUCGGCACGGGAAGUGCUCCGUGAGGAGGGUGCAAGCUGGCUGAUCUCUUCAGUCCUGAGAUGACCGAGCAAAUGAAGCAGGCCUGAUACCUCUUGAAGUGAAUAUGGAGAGCUCGCACGGGCAUUUCUUCACUGGGACACCACUGAGGGAUUCAUGGACACUUAAGAGGGAACUCCCUAUGGGCUGAGAUUUGACCUGGUUGGAGACCUGGUGUUCUUCUAAAGUCCAAGCAACUCUUGGUGACAUUGGACAUUCCUCCUUCUGUUGGUACCACCAGCUUACUGGAUGGCGCACCAAACUGGAGAGCAGCAAGAGUGGACCUGUGUGGAGAGAGCUUUGGGCAUCUUGAUGCUUGAAAUCUGUCCCUGCCUCCAGCACAGAGACAGCGAAGUGAAAGCAGGGCUCAAGAAGUGAAGAGGCCAUGAUAGCCCACACAUGGACCACAUUGACCACGUUAUUUUCUUUCCAUAAGCUAAAAGGGCAUCUCUGAAUUCUCAAAAAAAAAAAAAGAAAACAUGUUCAUAUUUUCAAAAUUCUUCUAAUAUUUUAAACUGAGGUUUUAAAAAGGGAUAAAGAGCUUUCUGACAGUUCAGGCAUCAUAGACUGAAUUGGAAGACUUAGCCUACGGGGCUUGACAUUUGACUAUCUGGGCAGCAAUAGAGCUUGCACCCAGAUGAGAAGAAAAUGACAUGGUGGUUCAAAUAUGUUUUAUAGUCCUCCCCGCAUUGUGUAUAUAGAUCUUGGAUGCUGUAAGAACAAGGAUCUCGAGGGUGCAUGAAGACAAAUAAAGUGAGCAACAGCCAGUGGCUUCCAGUUGGCUGGCCUGUUUCAACUCAGGAAAAUAAAGGCAUUGGUAACUGAUUUGUUCUCCUCCUCAAACAAAAUAUUCAGAGGAAGAGUUUAAAUGAUGAGGAUCUAGUGGUAAACCAUGCAAAUAAAAAUCCCUGCCAUGGAGAGAUUCAAUUUUAAGAAUGCCCUAGGGAUCCCUUUGGGUGGAGAAUUUAAUUGCAUUUUCAGUUUCAAUGUCCACACCAUGGCCAGCACUGAACAGAGAGGACAAUUUUUGCAGUGUUACAGAACUUUAAGUCUCCUGGCUGUUUAUAUUCACUGGCCCCAUCCAAGGUCCUGUGUGGUAUUCUCAAGGAUUUGGGGUGUAGCUGAGGGUGGAGCACUGGCCCAGUCAGGGAGCAGCAUCCACAUCCUCUGUCUGUGGGUAAGGUCAGUGGGUACCCCGCACCCCCUCCUGUGUGCCAACCUCCAGAUGCACCUGCCCUGUGUGAGGCCUCCCUAAGUACCUGCAAUCCAGAUGGCACCAAGGAGCAGGUUUGGAACAGGAUGCUUGCCGCACCACUCUCUGCAUAGGACCCUCCAGACUAAGGCUCAGUUACAGACACCUGUGUCUUUCUCCCCCUCCCACAACACCAGACUGGGUGCUGGAGCAGCUGCUGAGGCAAUGGCCACGGGGUCAGCUGGAGAGCAAAGGUCUGGAAGCCCUGGGACUUUCUCAUGAAGCACUUUUGGAGCAAGAUACUGCUUCAGCAGUAAGUGCUGAAGCUAAAGGAAUAUUUUUCACUCCAUCACCAGCAAAUAAACAACGUCUAUCUACACGACUAGAGAAAGACAAAAUGUCUUCCUCUGUACAGAGAAUGGUAUUUUAAAGUUCUUCACAUAUGAGGAAGGAAGAAAAAGGAUGAAGUAAAAAAAAUAAAUUUAUAAAAGUGGGUACAAGAG
Molecule: long non-coding RNA, 2114 nt
Organism: Heterocephalus glaber (naked mole-rat)
Lineage: Eukaryota; Metazoa; Chordata; Mammalia; Rodentia; Bathyergidae
Source: Ensembl